AGGUGUUGUUGUUGUAGUAAUUGAUGUAGUAGCAGUAGUGUUUUUUAUAUCAGUAGAGGUUGUGGUGGUAGUAGUAAUAGUAGAAGUAGUAGCAUUAACAGUUUCUGUAGCAAUAGUAGUAGCAAUAGAAGUAGCAGUAGUAGCAGUUGUUGCUGUAGUAGCAGUUGUUGCUGCUGCUGUUGCUGCUGUUGUUGUUGCUGCUGUUGUUGUUGCUGCUGUUGCUGCUGUUAUUGUUGCUGUUGUUGUUGUUGGUGGUGUUGUUGAUGCUGUAGUAAUUAAAGUAGUAGUUCUGCAGAAGUAGGAGUAGUUGUUACUUUCAAAGCAAUUUCUACAAGUUUAAAUUCCUUAACCCUGUCCAAGUGGUAUACACACUGUUUUUUCUCAAUAUCAAACUCAGCCAGUCCAGGUUGUCAAAUAACAAUCUAUCUGAUAAGCCAAGCAUGUGUUAUACAUCAGAUGUUGGGUAUGUUUACUGCAAAUCUAUUGGUUAUAAGAUAUAACAGCCUUUUCUAAUUGGCUGAAUUCAAAUACAGAAAGUUUACCUGUUAGAUUGAAACAUGAAACAUGGUGGACAAUGUACUGGUUUAACUUGUUAAAAUAAAGUUAAAGACAUUUAACAAACAGAAGAGUUCAUUAGUUUUUCCAUUAAAAACACUUUCUUAAAAUACUUAUGUAUUUAUAUCAUUUGGAAAGUGACACGAAAUAUUGCUAAAGAGUGAUGCAUACAGUGUUUGAGCAGUCUGUCUAGGAAUAGAACAACAACUGAAGUUGAUGGAAGAUACUGCAGAGUUUGGCAGGGAAAUAAUCCAACAGCAAAGCGGCUCUUUAAGCGCAUUUACCUAGAGGACUUACAGGGCCACAAAUUCAUGAGCACAUGUGAGCAGUAUACAAUGUACCUCAUACCAAAAAGGACCCGGAGGCAGUGACUGGUGUUCAAUAUUCUCAGAAGAAAAGGAAAAUGGCAGUGGAAGACUUGGACAAACAUUUUUAAAAACUAGCCUCUGUGUUAAGCCUGGCAGUCUGUGGCUGGUGACAUGUUUUAUUUUGGUUACUUCUUGUAUAAAAAAGACCAGUUAUUUAUUUUGUAAAUUGUAUUUUGUGUUUGUUUUUUGUCUUAAUAUAUUUGUUGUUGUUUUUUAAUUUAGGAAAUUAAAACUUGGAUAAUUGAAUUAAGUCCAUGUUCAACAGUACUGAGCAUAGUAUAAUAAAUAACAAAUUUACAACAGUUGUUAAUUUGUUAUGUAUUAUUAUUAACUAUGCUCAGUACUUGAAUACUGGCUGUCUGCAUGGGAAUUUGUUUUCUAGAAAGUUGGUUUCAGACUUAAAUAUUAGAAGUUAACCUUCGGAACUUUUCUAGAAUUGUACUGGAACACAUCAACUGGAACUGAACUUCUGUUAUCAUACUGAAAGUGUUCUAGAAUUAAUAAGGAACAGUUGUUGAACUUUAAAAUUUAUGAGAAAAAACUCUAGAACAAUUGUGCGUGAUGUGUGUGUGCAUGUAAUUGUGUGUGUUUAUGAACAUAUGUGAGAAAGGAAGUAUACUUGUCAUAAGAGAAAUGUAAAAUUCUACUUCUAUGUUUUAUAUUGUGCUAUGGAAUUCCACGGCAUUCUAUGGAAUUCCACGGCAUUCCAUGGAAUUCCACGGCGUUCCAUGAAAUUCCACGGCAUUCCAUGGAAUUCCACGGCAUUCUAUGGAAUUCCACGGCAUUCUAUGGAAUUCCACGGCAUUAUAUGGAAUGCCACGGAAUUCUAUGGAAUUCCACGGCAUUUUAUGGAAUUCCAUCCCAUAUCAAGUCCCCCUUCUGUUUUUUUUUCACUUUUCCAUUGAUUGCAUGGAAUCGGAUGGAAAGUUAGUGCCAAUACUCCACGGAAUUCCAUCUAACAAUUUCCAUAGAAUUCCAUAUGAUUCCACGGCAGAUCUACAGACGGGUGGCUACAUUACAUUCCACUAACACUAUAAUAACUUAAAUAAUGCAGAUUACAUUUCUAACGGACAUGUUACGGACCAAAAUUUAAAAAAACCUAAGAUUUGGUGGUCAUUAUUAUAAAAUUGUUUCUAUACAUGCAACUAGAUCGAUACAUUAAAAAAAGUUUGUACAAAUUGUAUUUGCACCUAAAGCUUUUGAACUUUAGAUUUAAGUGUGUGUGUUUUUACUUUUUACAAACAAAAGUUUUUAGUCAAAUGAAACUCCAUAUUUUUCUCUUUAAAAAUGAUGUCAUUUAAGCAUUGAUAGUGCGUUUUUUCGGUCACAAAAGGCAUGGCUCGUUGUGACUACCAAUGUUACUGUUUUCGCAACAUUAUGGUAUAUGUGGGACUGUAAAUAAUGAAUGUGUUUCUGUAUCCUGCGCUGUGUUGCUUAAAAUAGUUAUUAUUGCUGUUAGGAACCAAUUAGUUCUGCUUAAUGCAUGAACAUUUAUUUGUUUUGUAUCAUUUCAUGAACAACUGAAUGUCAAUUUUUACCAUUUAUGAUAAUUUGAAAAUGAAUUAUUGUUUUGUUCAUUAUUGCCUAACAAUUCAGGUAUUUUAGUCAAUAUGCCUAUUUGUCAAAAUACUCCUAUGUGUUGAGGUUCAGACAGUAUGAAUAUCUGAAUGUCAAUGCCGGGACUGUAUAUGAGAUGUGAAGUAGUUAGUGCUAGGACUGUUGAUGAGAUGUGAAGAAGUUAAUACCAGGACUGUUUAUGAGAUGUGAAGUACCUAGUGUCAUGACUGUGUUUAUUCAUCGUCUUUUCAUUGCAAACUAGUUGAAAACUCAUUUUUAUAUCAGAAUAAAUGUUAAUUGUUGCUUAAUCAUGACUAAGAAUCAUGCAUCUGUUAUUGUACUAGUGUUGUGUAACUAAAUGCUUAAUUAUUUGUGCAUGGUUUUCACAUGAUAUUUUAUGAUUUUAUGAAAUACUGUAAUAAUCUUAAACAUGAAGGCACUUAUGGUUUUGUGAAAUUAUAAGGAAGUGGUUAAUUUAAAUUUAAUUAUUCUCCAUAGCUAUUAGUGCUUUAUGCAAGCAUUAUAUUAUGGGAUGUGAGACAGCCAUGGCAAACUUGCGUCAUUCUGUACUCUGGAUCGCCACACUGAUAUACUACUUGUAUGAUUAUUAAACUAAUCACAUUUUAUAAAACAUAAUUCUUAAAAAAUUAUCUUAUGCAUAAUGCUGAAUGUUGUUGUUGUUUGCUUGCCUUUUGCGCGUCUUUGUGCUAUGAAAAGCUCAGGACAUAUCACCUUCACUGUAAAUGUAUGUUCAAAAUUUGCCAAUGAAUAAACUUAUUUUGCAAAUGUAAAUGUGGCAAAAUAAGAUAGACACUUCACCAUUUAAAUAAAAAAAAAAAGUUUCAGGAAGGAAUGAAAAAAACACUUGUGAGUCAAUUAGUAGGGGAAAAUAACCCUGAUUUUGGCCGAUUUUGUUACCGGUUUUACACUACCCUGAUAUUUCACAUAUCUAUACCUAACACCUUACUCGAUCCUUUUAAGAUGGGAGCAGCACUGUCCGCUAAGUAUUUGUUUCGGAAUAUGAGUUUUCAUGGUAACAGGUUUGAAAAUGGUGGGCACUACUUAAAAUCAAUGUCAGUCUGGUCGCAUGUGUAAUUUUGAUGUAAUUUAAUAUACCAUAUUUAUGAGGGAUAAGUAAAAUUUAUUUUAAAUUAUAUUGUUUUCCAUUUUGUCCUCCUAUAAGGGAUACCAUGGCAAACAAAUUCUCAUUUCUCCCUAUUUUUUUAACUUUUUUAUGGAACACAUAUACUUUUAAUCCUUCUUUCUAAACAAUAGUUGAUUAUCUGGUCUUAAUCUUUGCUUGUUAAAUUAAUCAACAAUUAUGUCAAUAAAUUUUGACACACAUUUGUUUGUUAUGGUUACCAGAAUAUUCAUAAAUAAAUCCCAAACUCGGUAACUAUGCUAUAUAAUUUACUCACUCAUCUGUGGUUAAAGAAACAAAUUGUCCAAUAAUUGCUUAUAGUUUUGAGUUUAUUCACUAUAAAGUUUUUGUCUUAUUAUUCACAUAAAUUACAUAUUAAGGAGACUGUUGAUUCCCUUUUAUUAACAAAUAUUAUUGAAAAUGUUCUGUGGUGCCAUGGUAACCACACUGAAAUACAUCAUAUUUUGGUGUAAAAUGUUUUGUAUUAACAGUUUUAUUGAGUGUUUUGCUUAGCCAUGUAUUUUAUUAUUUUCAUAUAGAUAGAAUCAUGUAUAUUCAAGAAAAUAAAAAAUGUAGCUAAUGUGGUUUCUAAGGAAAUUCUUAUUUAUUUCCAUAGCAAUAGACAAACAUACACACAAGUCAGUUGGCAUUGUGAUGAAAAUGCAUUAUCAGACACUUGUCAGACAUUAUUGUGCGGAAGGUUUGACUAAAUUGCACACACAACAUGUAAGAACUGCUGUCGCUCAGUGGUAGCAUAUAUCACAAAAGUUACUGAGUUACUUCCCUUUGAAAUAUUACACCAUUUGUACAACAUUAACAUCAACAAAGAAGCAGACGUUAGUUUACUGAUUAUCCAAGGAGGAAU
Long non-coding RNA from Dreissena polymorpha, 4486 nucleotides. RefSeq lists it as uncharacterized. Lineage: Eukaryota; Metazoa; Mollusca; Bivalvia; Myida; Dreissenidae. The record is from RefSeq and is a predicted model, not a curated record. The transcript is spliced from 3 exons.